GUUUCUUGUGAUGCAAAAGCCAGGACCGGUACGUUUUCUCACAAAAAGGAAAAAAAAACAAAGAGAGCUUCUAUUAAUUUAAAUUGUAGUCCUACUAGUCCAAUACAAAAUCAGCAAUUAGUGCUCUGACAUAAUCCAUCUGGUUUUGUUUCAGAAACUAGCUAGCUAGAAGCCUAGAACCGCCCAGAAAAUAAAGCUCCAAGAUUUCGAGCAAGUAUAGGGGGCUUGGCACUGUUCAAG
RNAcentral lists this long non-coding RNA (240 nucleotides) under Setaria viridis. RNAcentral describes it as "long non-coding RNA (SVIR_LNC010964)". The record is from RNAcentral. Lineage: Eukaryota; Viridiplantae; Streptophyta; Magnoliopsida; Poales; Poaceae.